CUGCUUAUGUUUUAUUUGUCUUAUGGAUUUUCUGUACAAUUACACUUGUGCAGUGAUUGUGCCGCCAUUCAGCUCUGGAUUCCUGCCCCUGCACUGGCUGAGGUGUUUAUGAUUCAAAUCGUACUAGAUGGAUAACCGUGCGUUGUUUGACACCCCUUCUUUUUUGUUUUUUUUACAACGUUACUCAUUAUUAAGCCCCUCUAUUGUGUGUGUACAGAUAUAAAUUGAACGAUACUUUCUCCGUUUCUAAUUAAUUGGCGCCAGCUAUUUUGCAAAGAAAUUCCUGUAAAUUUUCGAAAUAGACCUGCAGUUGAUAGAUUGGACAAAAAGAAACCACCCAGCGCUUGUGGCUUGCUCUCAGUGCACCGUUUUCUUCAGCUUUAGAUUUGAGAACUGCAAGUGUCAGAUUCUACCCCGCUAAGCUAGUUGAACGUUAUAUGUGAAAACUUGCAAUAUUUUAAUUCGAUGUUGCUUAAUAAAACAAUAUUAUAGUGGCAGAUAUUGUUCUGUAUAAGCUAUGUAUGAGAUAAACUCAGUUAAUUACCUCUCUCCAUAUAUUCUUCAGUAUGUAUGAUUAACGUUCUGAAAUGCAUGCAUUUUAUGCCGUGCUAAGAUUUCCUUGAAAAAACCGUAUAGCACAAAAAAGAUCGAGCACAAACACCAGAUCUGACAU
This 673-nucleotide long non-coding RNA is filed under the name Brachypodium distachyon (stiff brome). RNAcentral describes it as "long non-coding RNA (BDIS_LNC004151)". Lineage: Eukaryota; Viridiplantae; Streptophyta; Magnoliopsida; Poales; Poaceae. The record is from RNAcentral.